Molecule: long non-coding RNA, 262 nt
Filed under: Setaria viridis
Lineage: Eukaryota; Viridiplantae; Streptophyta; Magnoliopsida; Poales; Poaceae
Description: long non-coding RNA (SVIR_LNC008458)
Source: RNAcentral
AGGAGGAGAAAAAGAAGUAGUCAAACUCAUUGGAUCGGCUUGGAUCCGUCGUUGCCGUUCAUCAUUGGCAGGAUCGUGUAUCACACGUCUACUAAUGCAUGGUUGGAAGAACUGUGCAUAGUCAUUUCAACUUCCGGUAGACAUUUGAUGAUACAUGGCACAAUCUAAAGCUGGCUGAGUCCUCUCCUUAAAGAGGAAAUAGGAACGAGGCCUUAUGCUCAGACGCACCCAUCAUCAGCCAGGUCGAGCAAUGCCACGGUCU